This 597-nucleotide ribosomal RNA is filed under the name uncultured Microdochium. RNAcentral describes it as "eukaryotic LSU rRNA". The stretch from base 213 to 366 matches the Rfam family "5.8S ribosomal RNA". Lineage: Eukaryota; Fungi; Ascomycota; Sordariomycetes; Xylariales. The record is from RNAcentral.
UGGUCAUUUAGAGGAAGUAAAAGUCGUAACAAGGUCUCCGUAGGUGAACCUGCGGAGGGAUCAUUACUGAGUUUUCAACUCUCCAAACCAUGUGAAUUUACCACUGUUGCCUCGGUGGUUAGUGCUCUCCCUCGGGGGGGUGCUGCCGCCGGUGGACUACUAAACUCUUGUUAAUUUAUGGCAUUCUGAAUCAUAACUAAGAAAUAAGUUAAAACUUUCAACAACGGAUCUCUUGGUUCUGGCAUCGAUGAAGAACGCAGCGAAAUGCGAUAAGUAAUGUGAAUUGCAGAAUUCAGUGAAUCAUCGAAUCUUUGAACGCACAUUGCGCCCAUUAGUAUUCUAGUGGGCAUGCCUGUUCGAGCGUCAUUUCAACCCUUAAGCCUAGCUUAGCGUUGGGAGACUGCGCUAAACCGCAGCUCCUCAAAACCAGUGGCGGAGUCCUCUCGUGCUCUGAGCGUAGUAAUUCUUUAUCUCGCUUCUGUAAGUACGGUUGACGACAGCCAUAAACCGCACCCUCUCGGGGGGCACUUUUUAAUGGUUGACCUCGGAUCAGGUAGGAAUACCCGCUGAACUUAAGCAUAUCAAUAAGCGAAGGGA